GAGGGUGCGAGCGUUGUUCGGAAUUACUGGGCGUAAAGCGCGCGCAGGCGGUUCUUUAAGUCUACCCGUGAAAUGCCGGAGCUCAACUCCGUGCACGCCGGGGGAUACUGGAGAACUGGAGACAGGUAGAGGCAGGCGGAAUUCCGGGUGUAGCGGUGGAAUGCGUAGAGAUCCGGAAGAACACCAGAGGCGAAGGCGGCCUGCUGGGCCUUGUCUGACGCUGAGGCGCGAAAGCGUGGGGAGCGAACAGGAUUAGAUACCCUGGUAGUCCACGCCGUAAACGAUGGGCACUGGGCGCGGGUGGGAUCGACCCCUUCCGUGCCGUAGCUAACGCGAUAAGUGCCCCGCCUGGGGAGUACGGCCGCAAGGCUG
This 372-nucleotide ribosomal RNA is filed under the name uncultured organism. RNAcentral's name for it is "bacterial SSU rRNA". It matches the Rfam family "Bacterial small subunit ribosomal RNA", at positions 528 to 896 of the family's 1533-position model. The record is from RNAcentral.